Long non-coding RNA from Oncorhynchus tshawytscha (Chinook salmon), 3318 nucleotides. NCBI's taxonomy places the organism in Eukaryota, Metazoa, Chordata, Actinopteri, Salmoniformes, Salmonidae. The record is from Ensembl.
CAGAGGUAAGGGUGGUAGGUAGGGGGAAAAGCAGCCAAACCUACAGAGGAUUUGUUCAAAAAGAGAAGCAGAAAAAAAGAAAGAUGGAAAAUAGUUUUAGUCAGGGUUUUGAAAUGCAAACUUAACUUCUUAACAGAGAAAGAGAGUUGAUGUUUAAAGUUUUACAGUAAAAGCACACAGGCAAUAAUGUUUGAGUUUGAGUCUUAACUUUUUCUUAAUCUUACUUACGGUGCUGUGACUGACUGAAUCCUGCACAAAACAGUUUUGGAAACCACUGAUAUACAGUGUUUCAAUAGACUGAAUCCUACAUCUGUAGAGAUGGGUGGAAUGAAAGGAAAUAAGAUUAUUUUACAUCUUGUUUUACAGUUAUUUUGUCAUUUUUAAUUGAACCUUUAUUUAACCAGUUGUUGGUGUGGAAGAUUGAGGUUUGUGUCAGGAGUUAGAUGUGUGUUAAAACUCCAGUCCAGAAACCCAACUGCCUCAAACUACUGUGAGGGUUGAGUGUUUGACAGUUGGUCAUUAGUUAUACACAGUCGCUGACUGACUUUUUUCAAUCCUAAAUAGUGUGUGAUAUGAGAGGUAGUUUGACUGCAUUUCCCGUCCAUGGUAUACAAAGAUAUUGAAUGGUAAAUGGUUUAAAUGUAAACGUAGCACAAAUCUAGCAAAACAAGAAGACAGAAAUAUACACAACCUGUUUUCUCUAUCAUUCCAUCUGUAGAUUGUUGAUUCAACUGUGAUCCAUUUGAAUGGUUUGUUUCAUAUGUUUGUAGGGGUUUUGUAUGAGAACCAUGGAUAUGCUGUAUUCUACUGUAAUAUCCUAGUGUAUGUUGGGGAACAUUUAUCCCACAAUCACAAAAGACACACACUUUUGUGCCCAAACUUUAAGAUGAGGGCUUGUUCUUGAGUAUUUGGAGCGUAGAAUUAGAAUUUAGAAUACUGGAAUGGACAUGAACCUUCUUAUGAUGGGAUGAAGGUCAGCCAUUUUGAUCAGGGAGUUGGUCAACCAUGGUUUGCCGGUGCUGUGAUAAGAUAUUUGGUAAAAUAAUGAAUAUGAAGAAUUUUAGAGGAAUGAUUCCAUAAUUUCAAAUUAACUACCAAUAUCCCAACAUUCCAUUCAAACAAUGCAGUCAAUCCACAGCCAUACACUUUCUGGAAUCAGUUGAUGAUAGGACUUAGACAAGUUGUAAAUGCAACAAGUACUGAUAUUGUAUUACAUAAUAGCACUCUCAGCUUUACAAGAGAACCAAAAAUAAGACAUUUAUAGUCUGUUUACAUAUAUUUUAGAGGCUAUGUAUUCUGAAAAUUUGGUAUAAAACCUGUAUAAACUGUAUUUAUUUCUCCCUGACCAAUAAUGGCUACCAUUUUCACCCCAUUCUGGAACUUCAAGGUUUUAUGACAUAGCCCCUCUAGUAAUGUAAUAGGAUCUCUAGCCCCUCUAGUAAUUUAAUAGGAACUCUAGCCCCUCUAGUAAUUUAAUAGGAUCUCUAGCCCCUCUAGUAAUUUAAUAGGAUCUCUAGUCCCUCUAGUAAUGUAAUAGGAUCUCUAGCCCCUCUAGUAAUUUAAUAGGAGCUCUAGCCCUCUAGUAAUUUAAUAGGAGCUCUAGCCCCUCUAGUAAUUUAAUAGGAGCUCUAGCCCUCUAGUAAUUUAAUAGGAGCUCUAGCCCUCUAGUAAUUUAAUAGGAGCUCUAGCCCCUCUAGUAAUUUAAUAGGAUCUCUAGCCCCUCUAGUAAUUUAAUAGGAUCUCUAGUCCCUCUAGUAAUGUAAUAGGAUCUCUAGCCCCUCUAGUAAUUUAAUAGGAUCUCUAAUCCCUCUAGUAAUUUAAUAGUAUCUCUAGCCCCUCUAGUAAUUUAAUAGGAUCUAUAGGAUUUGGACUUUCUGUUGCAGAUUGUGUAACUGCAUUGGCUGUGUCCCUUUAGGAGUAUGAUGGAGUUGCGUUUUGAGAAGGGGCAACUGAUCAUAGAUCUGUGGGUAAGAGCACCUUCUACCUGGCCCGUCCCCUUCUGUUUUGUUACUAUGUACCUCUACUGCCACCUGCUGUUGAAUGUGGUCGUGUACACAUUAAAUACUGCUGAAUAUGUUUGUGUUCUUCACUUGAACAAACCCCUCAUCUUUGUCAUUUAGGCUUUCAUGGCAUAUUGUUCAUUGAUAAGUUACAAAAAAACUGUUAUGGAUAUUUUCCAUUGUCCUACUGGACACUGGACCCCAUAGAAAGGUCCAGGUUACUGCCCUGCAUGUAUGUACGUGUAUAUGACUAUACUUCUUUAUCUCCACGUUAUCCAUGCAGUCUUAUACUUAACAUCGUUCAGAAGAACUAAUGUAUUCCUUUAUUUCUGUAGCCUCUAAGCUCAAUUGUUUUUAUUUUUUGUAUAAUUUGUCUUAUCUGCUGAGACAUGAAUGCAAUGAUUUAACCUUUUUUUUAAUCAAAGCUUGUUUUCUACCUAAUCAAAAGAGCCUUGAACACAGAACAUAGGAGGAUUUGAAUUUGGUUUGAUCUCGUUUCCAGCAGCAUCUGAUCAACAUGCUCUUAUCCCGUGUGGUAUUGUGGGUUUGGAAGACAGGCUGCUCAUUUGAUAUUGAAAUCACAGCUCUUUCUCGCAACAGAUAUGGGCUUGAUAGGAAUUCUAUUGCAGAACGGUGGUGCAACAAUGAUAAUAGUAAACCAUGGACUGUCUCAAAUGAUAUCCUAAAGUAGUGCACUAUAUAGGUAAUAGGAUAUCAUUAUUUCAGGAGAGGGCAAUAUUAAAGAACAUUCAUAUAGAGAUGUUUUGUGCAGAAUAGCCAUUCUGUCAUAGAUAUUACCAGCUCUAUACAUUACAUUUCCUUCUGUAAUAUUGUAUGUUGGACUCCAGUGAGUAAACCCCAAGUUUUAUCAAUACAAGCCAGGCUUGUCUGUCAGUACUGAUGAACAUACUGUAGGAUCAGCUACAAUUUAAUAACUGUAGCCAGGAUCAUUAUCAGAAAUGAUCACACACUGCACCUCAUCUCCUCGCUUGAAGACAACUAAAGUCAUUUGAUUUAUGGGAACAGUUCUUCCUUUUAAUGCAAUGCAGCCUCUCCAACAGGGAAUGGAAGAGUCAUACCUGGCAUUCGAGUUGGUUGGGGCCUAUUGUGGUGGUGUAAUGGAUACCACUGAAAAAGAGUCCACCUCUUUGUAGAUAAUUCUGUGUCUUUGUAUAGGAAAGUGGGGGAAAAGCUUUUUGUAUUUCUCUUCAUUUUGUGUCCUCUGUAGUCCCCAUCACAUGUGACUCAAUUAUGUUAUCCUAUUUGUCCAAACGUGUAAAUAGAAGUUUUGUUAAUAAAAACAAUGUGUACUUUUAAA